AGGAUCAUUACAGUGAAUUGGGUUGUCGCUCAAAGCAGCACGCCCUCCAUAUUACACAUACACCUUGUGCACCUCAUCUUAUUACAGCCUGUCUCUAAGCAUGUCUUGAUAAUUCUACGGAAUAGAAUACAACUUUCAACAACGGAUCUCUUGGCUUUCGCAUCGAUGAAGGACGCCGCGAAAGUGCGAAACGUAAUGUGAAUUGCAGAAUUCAGUGAAUCAUCGAAUCUUUGAACGCAUCUUGCGCUCCUUGGUAUUCCGAGGAGCAUGCCUGUUUGAGUGUCGUGAAAUCACCCUCAAUCCCACUCUUCUGUGGGUUUGGAUUUGGAUGCUUGCCGUGACUUCCUUUUCGGCUCAUCUUGAAAUGUAUUAGCUGGUCUGCCUUACAUGAGUUUGGUGGGUGUGAUAAGAAACACUUGUAGCGCCAUUUCUAAACUCGGGGGGCUUGGCUGCUUUUUGAAUCCCACGUCGUUUGACCUCAAAUCAGGUAGGACUACCCGCUGAACUUAAGCAUAUCAAUAAGCGGAGGAAAAGAAACUAACAAGGAUUCCCCUAGUAACGGCGAGUGAAGCGGGAAGAGCUCAAAUUUGUAAUCUGGCAGUCCCUUGGCUGUCCGAGUUGUAAUCUGGAGAAGUGUUUUCUGUGUCGGACCGUGUACAAGUCCCUUGGAAUAGGGCGUCAUAGAGGGUGAGAAUCCCGUCUUUGACACGGACUCCCGGUGCUUUGUGAUGCGCUCUCGAAGAGUCGAGUUGUUUGGGAAUGCAGCUCAAAAUGGGUGGUAAAUUCCAUCUAAAGCUAAAUAUGGGCGAAAGACCGAUAGCGAACAAGUACCGUGAGGGAAAGAUGAAAAGCACUUUGGAAAGAGAGUUAAACAGUACGUGAAAUUGUUGAAAGGGAAACGCUUGAAGUCAGUCGCGUCUCUUGGGACUCAGCCCCGCUUUUCUUGCAGGGUGCAUUUCCUGGGCUGACGGGCCAGCAUCGAUUUCAGUCACUGGAGAAAGGCAAGGGGGAAUGUGGCACCUCUUUAUGGUGUGUUAUAGCCCCCGGUCGUAUGCAGUGACAGGGAUCGAGGAUCGCAGCAUGCCUCUAAUGGCCGGGGUCGCC
This 1104-nucleotide ribosomal RNA is filed under the name uncultured Clavariadelphus. Its description in RNAcentral is "eukaryotic LSU rRNA". The stretch from base 474 to 1104 matches the Rfam family "Eukaryotic large subunit ribosomal RNA", at positions 1 to 630 of the family's 3401-position model. The record is from RNAcentral. Lineage: Eukaryota; Fungi; Basidiomycota; Agaricomycetes; Gomphales; Gomphaceae.